AAAAGCGGGGGAGCCUCUUGCAUACGGUCACCCAGCCCCAUCCCCAGUUGUCCUAGGCUCUGUUUCCUCCUCCCCGUCACUUCCUGCCCUCCUUAGGGCCUGUAUCUUUGCUUGUUUUCAUAGCAGACAGGUGUCUAGUGCCUGGUGCUCCUCCUGCACCCGCUCCCCCGCCAACUCUAGGGGCCAAAGCAGCUUUAAUUAAAGGCAAAGUUGAUUUCAUCACUCCCUGUUUACAAACCCCAGAAGAUUCCAUUCCCAUUGAGGGAAUCCACGCGUCUCAGCAGAUGCUUCCAGUCCCUUUUGGAAAGAAAUGAGGUAUAAAGAGAAUGAACUGGAGUCUUGCAGACUAGAGGGGAGCUAGAUAAGGAAAUGGGGACCACAAGCACAAGGACCCUCUUCCUAGGUGGGGUGGAGAGGGCAUAAGGAUGGCAAGACCUAUUUACAUCCUUGCCAGCUCCCUGGCUGGGAACAUAGUAAAUAUCUUUGUUGAUGGGGUGUGAGGAGGAGCUAAGUAGACCAGGCUCUGGGCCUGGUUUCCUUGGAGAGGGGAAAAUGAAAGUGCUGACACGUAAACUCCCGACUCCGGAGUCUCCGACACCCUGCAUCCAUGGAUCUGCAGGGCAGGCAUCACCCCACCAGCCUGGGUGAGCCUCCUGGGGCUGGGCUUGGCCAAAGGCUGCCAGGUUGGAAAGCUGAGCUUGGAAGACGUCUGUUGUUUUCCUUUCUGCUUAAAUUUUGAGGU
Cebus imitator (Panamanian white-faced capuchin) is the source of this 742-nucleotide long non-coding RNA. RefSeq lists it as uncharacterized. The transcript has 3 exons. The record is from RefSeq and is a predicted model, not a curated record. NCBI's taxonomy places the organism in Eukaryota, Metazoa, Chordata, Mammalia, Primates, Cebidae.